AAACGUAGGAGGCAAGCGUUAUCCGGAUUCAUUGGGCGUAAAGGGCAAGUAGGCGGUUGGAAAAGUUAGGUGUGACAUCUCUCGGCUUAACUGAGAGGGAGCGCUUAAAACUAUUCAACUAGGGGGCAGAAGAGGGGGGUAGAACUCCAAAUGUAGCGGUGGAAUGCUCAGAUAUUUGGAAGAAUACCAGUGGCGAAGGCGGCCCCCUGGUCUGACCCUGACGCUGAGAGGCGAAAGCUAGGGUAGCGAACGGGCUUAGAUACCCCGGUAGUCCUAGCUGUAAACGUUGGAUACUAGGUAAUGGUCUCUAACAUGGGAUCAGUGCCGAAGCAAACGCGUUAAGUAUCCCGCCUGGGGACUACGAUCGCAAGAUUAAA
RNAcentral lists this ribosomal RNA (377 nucleotides) under uncultured bacterium. Its description in RNAcentral is "bacterial SSU rRNA". It matches the Rfam family "Bacterial small subunit ribosomal RNA", at positions 523 to 898 of the family's 1533-position model. The record is from RNAcentral.